Diatrype stigma is the source of this 114-nucleotide non-coding RNA. The record is from the annotation of a GenBank genome assembly. Lineage: Eukaryota; Fungi; Ascomycota; Sordariomycetes; Xylariales; Diatrypaceae.
GUCUUCGUGGCUUAGUGGUUAGAGCGCCGGUCUCAUAGAAUUCAUGAAACUCCUAUGAUCCAAUCCUUAGAUUGGGAUAUCCGGAAAUCGCCAGUUCGAUCCUGGCCGAGGACA